Long non-coding RNA from Oncorhynchus kisutch (coho salmon), 2702 nucleotides. Lineage: Eukaryota; Metazoa; Chordata; Actinopteri; Salmoniformes; Salmonidae. The record is from Ensembl.
GGUUGGUGUGAGCGAGGUGGUGGACACCUGGCCUUCAUUCUAAAUAUCGAUACACAGCAGUUCCUACAGAAGCACCUGCAGCCAGAGCAGGACUGGUGGCUGGGUCUGGCACCUGCCUCCCCAAACCUAACACUGUUGCUAAAGGUCCUCUCUCCUGGCAUGAUGGCUCUGACGUCAGCUACUCUAACUGGGUGAACGACCCUGAUCCAGGGGCUGGCUGUGGUCACAUACUGAGGAGCUCAGGGUUCCAGUGGGAGGCAACAAGCAACUGUAGCCAGGAGCUGCACUUCAUCUGCCAAUUUGGUGUCUGGAGCCAACGGCAGCAUCUCAAAGACCAGAGACAUUUGAAAACGGAAGCAUGCAGGUUUACAAUAUCUCAACCACUAUCCAAGGAUAUUUGCAAGUGUAAGUCAGGUCCUGGAUUGUCUUCUCACACAUGGAUGUGGAUAACACAGCAGUUGUUUGUCACAACAGUUCAGACCUCAGACAGAAAAGCAUAUGAGAGUUUGUCGAGCCUACACCUUGAGAAUUACUGCCAGUCCAGAAACUACCCGUCAAGACACUGAAAGCGUCAAACUUGAGGUAACUGGCUUAGGAGGACUAUCUAAUGGAAAGCAGAGCAAAUUUGAAUGGGAAUGCAGUAAGUACCAGUUAAGGCCUUUAAGCCACAGGGCUGUUGAAGAGAACCCUCUCACCCCACCCUAUUCCAGUAUAAAAUGAAAACAAUGACUGUAAACUUUGUUUCAUAACAUCAAUUUUCUGUAACAAUCUUAAUAGUUUUUUUCACUGUUUACUCAGUGUCGUGUCUCAUCUUUUUACAGCAUGGCCUUAUUGUGGUGUUUUCUAACCAUUUUCCCUUUCCAACUCCAGUAGAGGAAGACUGUAAGGGUAAGGGAAAAUGCAACGAUAAAACAACGGACAAGACUUGUUUGAUUGAAAAAGACUGUCUUCCAAACCCAUUCGAGCACUUUUUCUGUGAAGAGACGGAUUGGCAAUGGGAAAUGGGUUGACUGGAUUUAAACAUGGCGAUGCAUCACGGUUACUCCAACAAAAUUCACCAACUUUAGAAUUUGGUAAUAUGGGGAUAGGCCUAAAAUAGUGAAGUGAAUAUAUAUGUCAUGCUAUUUAUUUCAUGACAACUCCUAUCAGUAUCAUUAUAAAACAGGCAAUGACAAUAUUAUACAAAUUGCAAUUUAAAUAUCACUACAAUUAUAGUAUCAUCAUCAUAAUCAUCCUCAGAGAAGUACAAGUAACUUCCAAAAUAAAGGAAACACCAACAUAAAGUGUCUUAAUAGGGUGUUGGGUCACCACGAGCCGCCAGAACUGUUUCAAUGCACCUUGCAUAGAUUCUACAAGUGCCUGGAUCUCUACUGGAGGGAGGUGACACCAAUUUUCCUCUAGAAAUUCCAUCAUUUUGUGUUUUGUUGAUGCUGGUGGUGGAAAACGGUCUCAGGCGCCACUCCAGAAUCUCCAAUAAGUGUUCAAUUGGGUUGAGAUCUGGUGACUGAGACAAACACACACACACACACCGUUAACCCUGUAUGCUACUUUGAGACCCCUCUUUCAAAGUCACUGACAUCUCUUCAUCCAGCCAUGGUAACCAAAAUAAUGGGCAACUGGGCAUUUUUAUACAUGACCAUAAGAAUGAAGGGAUAAUAAUAAUUGCAUAAUUAACUCAGGAACAACACCUGUGUGGAAGGACCUGCUUUCAAUAUACUUUGUAUCCCUCAUUUAAUCAAGUGUUUCCUUUAUUUUGGCAGUUACAUGUGUUGGACAUCAUAAUGCUUUUGGACUGGCCUAAGUGGCCAUACAGAAUGUUGAUAAAUAUCUGGAAUGAAUCGAGUUAGAAAUUAUUUAGCUUAAACUAUUGACAGAUUUGUAAUCCUUAAGUGUACAACAGGGUAAUGACAUUAGCAUAUUAAUUGACUGAUUUAAUUAGAAUUCAGAAGAAAAUUGGUCACAUUUAACAUGCGUUGCUCUCAUGCCUAUGGAGCAUGCUGUAAUGACACUAAUAAUAAUGUUGCAUUAAAUGCCCAAUAAUGACAUAAUAAUGUAUGUAUUGCUUUGUUAUUACAAAGGUAAACUGUUUCUGGUACAACACUGUUACUAUUACCAUUUGUAUGAUAACAAUAACUGUCCAUUGCUAUGUAUUUACAAAGCAAUAAUCAAGUUACUAUGUUACAAAAUGUGAAUUCAAUGUUUUUAAGAUGAUCUAUUUUAUGCUAAAAAACAGUACCUAUAUUCUUUCAGUUGCCAGGAUAAUUGUAAUACAGUGGAUGUAAAAUGUUUUUUUUUAAAUGUACAAUUAAAAUUGGACUUACUGUUGAAGGACCCAAAACCUUCAACAGUAAGUCUGAGAUUCCUUUAUUGUUGCAUGCUGAAUGCAAUCAUAUUUUUUAUUGGUAUCAAACCAAAUUUUACUUGUCGCAUACACGUGUUUAGCAGAUGUUAUUGCGGGUGUAGCGAAAUGCUUAUUUUCAUGUGUGAAUGAGUUUCGUUAGAGUGCAUGAAUCAAUUUAUUGACUAACCCAUGUUGUCUAAUUUGGAGUUGACAUAUUGUAGAUAAAUAAAACAAAUUGAUGCAUAAACCCACCCGUUUCCCAACAACAGCCAGUAUCUGUACAGGCAGCUAUGCCAUGUAGAGAAGGAGUUGAGCCUACUGGGACCCUCUCGUUUCCCCAACUCAGACAGCAACUGCCGGG